CCUCCGCCAUCUUGGGGGCGGCCGCCCGUGAGGGAAGGAGGUGACUGAGGUGGUUUUUCCUCUUUCUCCCCUCCGGAACUGUUGGUUUUCAGUUUCUCGCAGGUCUGUGUCGCUCCUCCCGUGUUUUUGGCUGAGGGGCGGCUGCGGGAUGGCGUUUCCCCGGCUGCUGGUGCGGGCGCUGCACCGGGCGGGCGCUGCCGCCGCGGCUCCAGACUUCAACAGUUUCGUCACUCGGACCAACACGUGUGGAGAGCUGCGUUCUGCUCAUGUGGGACAGAAGGUGACCCUGUAUGGAUGGGUUCAAUAUCAAAGACAAGGCCUGUUUCUCGUUUUGAGGGAUUUCCAGGGACUGACCCAGGUCAUCAUUCCUCAGGAUGAGGCACAUUCCCACGUGAAGGAGCUCCUGUCCAACGCCCCGGUGGAGUCUGUGGUGAGAGUGACAGGGACAGUGUCCCCUCGGCCCCUGGGGCAGGAGAAUCCGAAAAUGCCAACAGGGGAUAUUGAAGUGAAGGCAGAGACUGCAGAGAUCCUAAACUCCUGCAAGAAGCUGCCUUUUGAAAUCAAGGAUUUUAUCAAGAAGUCAGAGGCCCUGCGGAUGCAGUAUCGGUACCUGGACCUGCGCAGCUCCCGGCUGCAGUCCAACCUGCGCCUGAGGUCUCGCGUGGUGAUGAGGAUGCGCGAGUAUCUCUGCAACCUCCACGGGUUCGUGGAUGUAGAAACUCCAACUCUGUUUAAAAGAACCCCAGGGGGAGCCAGAGAAUUCCUUGUGCCCUCGAGGGAAGCGGGCAAGUUCUACUCUCUGCCACAGAGCCCUCAGCAGUUCAAGCAGCUCCUCAUGGUUGGAGGACUGGACAGGUACUUCCAAGUCGCUCGCUGCUACCGGGAUGAGGGUUCACGGCCUGACAGGCAGCCUGAAUUCACCCAGAUAGACAUAGAGAUGUCGUUUGUAGAUCAAGCUGGGAUCCAGAGGCUCAUAGAGGGCCUCCUGCAAUAUUCCUGGCCUGAGGAAAGAGGCUCCAUUAUGACUCCUUUCCCUUCCAUGACUUAUGAGGAGGCACUGGCUGAGUAUGGGACUGAUAAACCUGACACUCGCUUUGGGAUGAAGAUCAUGGAUAUCAGUGAUGUUUUACGAGGAUCAAACAUUCAUUUUGUGCAGAGUGCCCUCAGUUACCCACAUGGCUCCAUCAGAGCCAUUUGUAUCCCUCAGGGAGUGAGGUAUCUUACAAAUAAAGACUUGGAGUCGUUGAAGGAGUCUGCAAAAUCCCAGUUUAACCAGGAAAUCAUGGAAAUCAUCCGGAGACCUGAUGGAAGCUUGAAGUCUCUGCUUACCAAGUUCCUUGGUGAGAAGGAGAGGUCAGAGCUUAUCCAAGCACUGGACAUGCAAGAGGAUGAUGUGGUGCUGCUGGCAGCUGGAGAACACAAGCAAGUGUGCUCUGCUUUAGGAGCCCUGCGGUUGUUGAGUGCCGACCUCCUGGAGGCAGCUGGGCUGGCACUCCGUGAUCCCACAGCCUUUCACUUCCUCUGGGUGGUGGAUUUCCCCCUUUUCCUUCCCAAGGCCGAGAAUCCCACUGAACUGGAAUCUGCUCAUCACCCCUUCACUGCCCCUCACCCUUCAGAUGCCAGCCUCCUGUAUUCUGAUCCUACAAAGGUUGUUUUUAGGUGCAGCCGUGGCCCAGCCUCAGCAAGGUGCCUGUCCCUGUCUCUCUGCAGGUCCGUAGCCAGCACUACGACCUUGUGCUGAAUGGCAAUGAGGUUGGAGGUGGCUCCAUCAGAAUUCACAGUGCAGAGCAGCAGCGUUUUGUGCUGGAGAAAGUGCUGAAGGAGGAUUCCGAGGUGCUUUCCCAUCUGAUUGAGGCUUUGGAAUUUGGAGCACCACCUCAUGGAGGAAUUGCUUUAGGACUUGACAGGCUGAUCUCUCUCAUUGUUGACGCUCCAAGUAUCCGGGACGUCAUUGCCUUUCCAAAAUCCUUCAGGGGACGAGACCUGAUGGGCAAUGCUCCAGACUAUGUCACUCCAGAAGAACUAGAGCCAUAUCACAUUCAGGUUUCCUGGCCUCUUGAAGAAAAAGAGGCAAAGAAAAACUGACUUCACGCCAGUGAUGUAAGCUGAUCUGAUCAACCAGAGGUGGUUACAGCUUCUAAAGGCUGGGAUUCGGUUCAGAAAAUAUCAGCUGUUGUGGCAGGGUGGGGGACAGUCCAACUCCACUGUAUUGUGGCAGUUUCAGGAUGGAGUGGGAAGUAGAUAAGGGGUCUUCCUGAUGGGAAUUCACCUUUGGGAAGGACAUGCAAAAAAGCAAUAGAAAAGAACAUAAUUUUAGCACAGCAUUUUGAGACUGUUUGCUUUAGGGUGUCACAUUUGGAGGGAAGACAGGAUCUGGUUUUUCCCAACCCUCAAUUUUUACAUGUCCCUUGUAAAGUAUUCCUCCUCCCAUCUGGAGGAGAUAGCCAUCUUCCCUGGCAGGAAUUAAAUCAUGAUCCUCAUUAAAUCAUGUCAGCUGAGCACUGUGACAAUAAAAAUGUGCUGGACUAGGAGCUCUGGACACUGCACAGCCAAACUUCAGUGCAGCCAGCAAUUUGUCUCCUGUUGGAGGAUACCAGAUCAUGCAGAACUUUGCCACUGGGAGGUCAUGCUCAGCUGUGUUUUCCCUUCAGAGGAGAGGGAGAGAAGCAUCGAUGAUGUUUGCAACAGUUAUCCUUGUAAUACUCGUCAAAGAGGUGUUGAUCUGUCUUUGGGGCCUGUGGUCCUGGUGCUUUCAGCACAAUCAUUCAGGAGUUUGUAUGUUUAUAAAUAAAGUUUACCUGGCAAUGUG
RNA transcript from Parus major (Great Tit), 2809 nucleotides. It is a transcript of the gene named aspartyl-tRNA synthetase 2, mitochondrial, with no coding region annotated. Lineage: Eukaryota; Metazoa; Chordata; Aves; Passeriformes; Paridae. The transcript has 17 exons. The record is from RefSeq and is a predicted model, not a curated record.